Molecule: long non-coding RNA, 370 nt
Filed under: Nicotiana benthamiana
Lineage: Eukaryota; Viridiplantae; Streptophyta; Magnoliopsida; Solanales; Solanaceae
Description: long non-coding RNA (NBEN_LNC041962)
Source: RNAcentral
UUUAAUAGACGUUUGCUGGUUGGGAGUGUUUCGAGGAAGUGGGUUGAUAUGUGGGAGGUAGAGAUGAUUGGUAAGUAGGUGGUGGAGCUUGGUAGGAAGGUUCUUGGUAACUUGGGAUAGGUUGAUGUGUGAGUGGAGGUAAUGGGUAGGUUUGGUAUCUGACUAGAGAUUUUGUCCUCUGCGCAAACAUUACGACACUCACAUCCCUUUUCUUGGUUGUGCUACCAGACUGUAGAGCCUUGUUAGUGGCUUGUAAUGCUAUAUAGUUAGUAACCACCCCACUUUUAAUACCUUCUUCGAUUCUCUCCCCUAACUUGAUGAUGAUAGAAAAUUCCUAGCCCUCGAUCAAUAUCAGCCUCUCAUAAUAUUG